UUGACCUCGAAUCAGGUAGGAAUACCCG
Molecule: ribosomal RNA, 28 nt
Filed under: Erysiphe arcuata
Lineage: Eukaryota; Fungi; Ascomycota; Leotiomycetes; Helotiales; Erysiphaceae
Also listed under: 1 other name
Description: partial 28S rRNA
Source: RNAcentral